GCGGUUAAAAAGCUCGUAGUUGGAUCUCGGCAGGUAGGGGGCGGUUCGUUUCUGACGGUACUGCCCCAUUUACCUGUGUUUUUGACGGAGGUCUGAGGGUGCUCUUCACCGAGUGUCCCCAAACGCCGUCAGGUUUACUUUGAAAAAAUUAGAGUGCUCAAAGCAGGCUUCAAGCUUGAAUAUUUGUGCAUGGAAUAAUGGAAUAGGAAGUCGUUUCUAUUUUGUUGGUUUUCGGAAAUUGACUUAAUGAUUAAUAGGGACAGCCGGGGGCAUUAGUAUUCAGACGCUAGAGGUGAAAUUCUUGGACCGUCUGAAGACUAACUACUGCGAAAGCAUUUGCCAAGAGUGUUUUCAUUAAUCAAGAACGAAAGUUAGAGAUUCGAAGGCGAUCAGAUACCGCCCUAGUUCUAACCAUAAACGAUGCCAGCUAGCGAUCCGUAGCUGUUUUUCAUGUAGGCUCUACGGGAAGCUUCCGGGAAACCAAAGCUUGUGGGUUCCGGGGGAAGUAUGGUUGCAAAGCUGAAACUUAAAGGAAUUGACGGAAGGGCACCACCAGGAGUGGAGCCUGCGGCU
Molecule: ribosomal RNA, 573 nt
Filed under: uncultured marine eukaryote
Lineage: Eukaryota
Description: SSU rRNA
Rfam family: Eukaryotic small subunit ribosomal RNA
Source: RNAcentral